ACUGAUAAGCCACGUACAUUUCAUACUUAUUCAAGGAGGAAGAAGCAAAGAAACAUACAAGUCCUGGAGGAUUGAGCAGUUACUGAAAGCAGUUUCUUACAGUUACUAGAAGUUAUAUGUUCCUAUCAUAAAUGUAGUUAAGUACUUAUGUGUCAUCCUAUUAUAUAAAUAAUGCAUCUUAGUAAUGUAGGAUUGUAUUGUAAUCAUCUAUUGUAUGCAGACAGAUUGUUCUAAGAGAUAUGAGAUGCUUGUGUCUCUCUAUUAUUAAAAUAUCAGUAUAACUUCUAUUUAUUUACCA
Lycium ferocissimum is the source of this 298-nucleotide long non-coding RNA. RefSeq lists it as uncharacterized. Lineage: Eukaryota; Viridiplantae; Streptophyta; Magnoliopsida; Solanales; Solanaceae. The transcript has 2 exons. The record is from RefSeq and is a predicted model, not a curated record.